GGGGCAAACCUGUAGUAGAGUAGAUUAGUAGGAUCAGCUGACCAUACCCAACUAUUCUAUUUCGAGUUUGUGUCC
This 75-nucleotide microRNA precursor is filed under the name Haemonchus placei. RNAcentral's name for it is "mir-5928 microRNA precursor family". It matches the Rfam family "mir-5928 microRNA precursor family". Lineage: Eukaryota; Metazoa; Nematoda; Chromadorea; Rhabditida; Trichostrongylidae. The record is from Rfam by way of RNAcentral.